This 400-nucleotide unclassified non-coding RNA is filed under the name soil metagenome. RNAcentral describes it as "partial contains 5.8S ribosomal RNA, internal transcribed spacer 2, and large subunit ribosomal RNA". The stretch from base 1 to 122 matches the Rfam family "5.8S ribosomal RNA", at positions 35 to 154 of the family's 154-position model. The record is from RNAcentral.
GAUGAAGAACGUAGCGAAAUGCGAUACUUGGUGUGAAUUGCAGAAUCCCGUGAACCAUCGAGUCUUUGAACGCAAGUUGCGCCUCAAGCCAUUAGGUUGAGGGCACGUCUGCCUGGGCGUCACAUAUCGUUGCCUGAUGCCAGUUUCCUCGUGAUGGGUGACUGUGCAGGGCGAAUGAUGGCUUCCCGUGAGCAUUGUUGCCUCAUGGUUGGUUGAAAAUUGAGUCCUUGGUAGGGAGCGCCGUAAUAGAUGGUGGUUGAGUGACGAACGAGACCCAAUCAUGUGAGACCCCUACCGAAUUUGGCCUUCAUGACCCACAUGCGUCUUUGGAACGCUCAUGACGAGACCUCAGGUCAGGCGGGGCUACCCGCUGAGUUUAAGCAUAUCAAUAAGCGGAGGA